CCACUUCAAUCUUUAACCGAAAGCCCCUAUAUGUAGGGGGCUGGUUCGUCCAGCUAUGGUGAUAAACGCACGUGUAAUAAGCGGAUCGGACCCGGGGGCGGUACCCGGCGCCUCCACCCCAGCAGCCCCUCAGGGCUUUUGCGGCGGGGGCGAAAUAGGAUCGACGGACGUGUAAAGACGGAGCUUUUGCCCGGCAUGAUACCGCCGUUAUCGGGUCAAUCCUAUAAGUGCGAACGAUAAUGACGUAGCACUCGCGGCCUAGUAGAAUAGGCACGCGCGGUCCGGAGGGGCACCGGGCAACAGAAGCCCCUCCACC
RNAcentral lists this transfer-messenger RNA (316 nucleotides) under Alphaproteobacteria bacterium. It matches the Rfam family "Alphaproteobacteria transfer-messenger RNA". Rfam says of the family: Bacterial tmRNA, also known as 10Sa RNA or SsrA, is named for its dual tRNA and mRNA-like properties. Its role is to liberate the mRNA from a stalled ribosome. To accomplish this part of the tmRNA is used as a reading frame that ends in a translation stop signal. Lineage: Bacteria; Pseudomonadati; Pseudomonadota; Alphaproteobacteria. The record is from RNAcentral.